This is a long non-coding RNA of Ochotona curzoniae (black-lipped pika), 578 nucleotides long. RefSeq lists it as uncharacterized. The record is from RefSeq and is a predicted model, not a curated record. NCBI's taxonomy places the organism in Eukaryota, Metazoa, Chordata, Mammalia, Lagomorpha, Ochotonidae. The transcript is spliced from 2 exons.
UGCAUGUGUGUGGGGACUGUUGCUCCAGACACCUGCCUCGGAGGACUGCUGCCUGCUCCUCUCUGGUCGUCCUGCAUAGCCAGCGGAUCUAUUCUCACUUGUGGCAACCUGCCCACCUCAUGACCUUGAACUCCUCCCUUAUGACUUUGGAAAUCAAUGCAGACCAGUGCAUGAUCAGUGCUCUACUCACAAGGAUUCAGCACUGGGAUCAGAUUUCAGACCUUCACAAAGAAGCAGGGCUUCCAAAAAUAAGUAUUUUUCCCUAAUCUUAUUAAACAAACUCACUGACUCUUUUCUGACUUGAAUAUUAAAAGGAACAUAGUCAAACAAAUAUAACAUGGGAAAUUUAGCUGAGCUUUAUAAAAGUGUUGCAUUCAGCAAAGACAAGAUGCUCAACACAGAGACUGUUACGAUGGAGCUGUAAGAACAGCGGACUGUUAUGGCACCUUGAGGGUACUGACAGCCUUCACCCUCCCUGCCGAUACACACCUUCUCUAACUGCACACCUAGUGUCUGAGCCUCCUCUACAGACCCGUCAAUACAGACCAAUCCCUCAUUCCUCCACACUCAGGCUGCUG